UUCAGAAGCCAGCCUUCAGUGGCAGCUGAGGUUCAGUGGUAGCGUUCUCACCUGUCAGCCAGGAGGUCGGGGGUACAAGUUCCAUUCCAGAAAAUUCAUCACAAAAUGUGCCGCUCGAAGCAAGUUGACAAACCUGAGAAA
Molecule: long non-coding RNA, 141 nt
Organism: Carcharodon carcharias (great white shark)
Lineage: Eukaryota; Metazoa; Chordata; Chondrichthyes; Lamniformes; Lamnidae
Exons: 2
Source: RefSeq, a predicted model, not a curated record